Molecule: ribosomal RNA, 1500 nt
Filed under: uncultured bacterium
Lineage: Bacteria
Description: bacterial SSU rRNA
Rfam family: Bacterial small subunit ribosomal RNA
Source: RNAcentral
AGAGUUUGAUCCUGGCUCAGAAUGAACGCUGGCGGCGUGCUUAACACAUGCAAGUUGAACGAGAAAGGCCCUUCGGGGCUGAGUAAAGUAGCGAACGGGUGAGUAACGCGUGGGAAUCUGCCCUUUGGUGGAGGAUACCCCUGGGAAACCGGGGUUAAUCCUGCAUAAGUUCUACGGAAGAAAGACGGCCUCUUGCUGUCGCCGAAGGAUGAGCCCGCGUCCUAUUAGUUUGUUGGUGGGGUAACGGCCUACCAAGACUGUGAUGGGUAGCCGGCCUGAGAGGGUGUACGGCCACAUUGGGACUGAGAUACGGCCCAGACUCCUACGGGAGGCAGCAGUGAGGAAUAUUGCGCAAUGGACGAAAGUCUGACGCAGCGACGCCGCGUGGAGGAAUAAGGUCCUCGGAUUGUAAACUCCUGUUAAGUGGAAAUAAAUGCCGGAGGUUAAUAGCUUUCGGAGAUGAAGGUACCACUAGAGAAAGUCCCGGCUAACUUCGUGCCAGCAGCCGCGGUAAUACGAGGGGGACAAGCGUUAUUCGGAGUUACUGGGCGUAAAGAGCGUGUAGGCGGCGUCGUAAGUCAGCUGUUAAAGACCUUUGGCUUAACCCGAGGAACAGCGGUUGAAACUGCGGUGCUAGAGUGCGACAGAGAAGGGUGGAAUUCUCGGAGUAGCGGUAAAAUGCGUAGAUCUCGAGAGGAACACCGAUGGCGAAGGCAGCCCUUUGGGUCGCAACUGACGCUAAAGCGCGAAAGCGUGGGUAGCAAACAGGAUUAGAUACCCUGGUAGUCCACGCCGUAAACGAUGAUCACUAGAUGUUUGAAGCCUUCGGGUUUUGGGUGUCGAAGCUAACGCGUUAAGUGAUCCGCCUGGGGAGUACGGUCGCAAGAUUAAAACUCAAAGGAAUUGACGGGGGCCCGCCACAAGCGGUGGAACAUGUGGUUUAAUUCGACGAUACGCGAGGAACCUUACCUAGGCUUGACAUGCACUUGCCCGCAGUGGAAGCACUGUUUUUCUAGUUUACUAGACGGGUGCGCAGGUGCUGCAUGGCUGUCGUCAGCUCGUGUCGUGAGAUGUUGGGUUAAGUCCUUUAACGAGCGCAACCCCUGUCGUUAGUUGCUAGUCUUCGGACGCACUCUAGCGAGACUGCCUGGGGAACCAGGAGGAAGGUGGGGAUGACGUCAAGUCCUCAUGGCCCUUAUGCCUAGGGCAACACACGUGUUACAAUGGCCGGCACAGAGGGGAGCAAAGCCGCGAGGUGGAGCAAAUCCCAGAAAACCGGUCUAAGUUCGGAUUGGAGUCUGCAACUCGACUCCAUGAAGCUGAAAUCGCUAGUAAUCGCGCAUCAGAACGGCGCGGUGAAUACGUUCCCGGGCCUUGUACACACCGCCCGUCACACCAUGAAAGUUGUCUGUACCCGAAGUCGACUUAGCCAACCAGCUUGCUGGGGGCGGUCGCCGAAGGUGUGGGUGAUGAUUGGGGUGAAGUCGUAACAAGGUAACC